AGAGUUUGAUCAUGGCUCAGGAUGAACGCUGGCGGCGUGCCUAAUACAUGCAAGUCGAGCGAACUGGUUAGAAGCUUGCUUCUAUGACGUUAGCGGCGGACGGGUGAGUAACACGUGGGCAACCUGCCUGUAAGACUGGGAUAACUUCGGGAAACCGAAGCUAAUACCAGAUAGGAUCUUCUCCUUCAUGGGAGAUGAUUGAAAGAUGGUUUCGGCUAUCACUUACAGAUGGGCCCGCGGUGCAUUAGCUAGUUGGUGAGGUAACGGCUCACCAAGGCAACGAUGCAUAGCCGACCUGAGAGGGUGAUCGGCCACACUGGGACUGAGACACGGCCCAGACUCCUACGGGAGGCAGCAGUAGGGAAUCUUCCGCAAUGGACGAAAGUCUGACGGAGCAACGCCGCGUGAGUGAUGGAGGCUUUCGGGUCGUAAAACUCUGUUGUUAGGGAAGAACAAGUACGAGAGUAACUGCUCGUACCUUGACGGUACCUAACCAGAAAGCCACGGCUAACUACGUGCCAGCAGCCGCGGUAAUACGUAGGUGGCAAGCGUUAUCCGGAAUUAUUGGGCGUAAAGCGCGCGCAGGCGGUUUCUUAAGUCUGAUGUGAAAGCCCACGGCUCAACCGUGGAGGGUCAUUGGAAACUGGGGAACUUGAGUGCAGAAGAGAAAAGCGGAAUUCCACGUGUAGCGGUGAAAUGCGUAGAGAUGUGGAGGAACACCAGUGGCGAAGGCGGCUUUUUGGUCUGUAACUGACGCUGAGGCGCGAAAGCGUGGGGAGCAAACAGGAUUAGAUACCCCAGUAGUCC
Molecule: ribosomal RNA, 807 nt
Filed under: uncultured bacterium
Lineage: Bacteria
Description: bacterial SSU rRNA
Rfam family: Bacterial small subunit ribosomal RNA
Source: RNAcentral